UUCCGACUAGCUCUCUAAUUUUAAUGUGGUGUAAUGUCACGUGUCUCUUUCUUAGAUGCCACGCCAUCAAGUCAAAAUAGGGUGAUUAAUCGACGCUAGAGUUGGGGACCGAAGGAGGAGUGGGCUGCUCAGAGAUGGGGUGGAAAGUAGGGGAUUGACAUGUAACCCAAGAUCUAGCGGGAUAGGGAUAGUCGAAGAUGGAGUGGAGGGUCAGGCUUGAACGGAGGCGAAGGCAAAGUGGGUUGCUCGGAGAUGGGCUAGAGGGUGGGGGAUCGACUGGAAACACAAGAUUUUGUGGGUUAGGGAUGGUCGGAGAUGGAGCGGAAGGUUGGGGUUGAAUGGAGGCGGAGGCGAAAUGUGUUUCUCAGAGAUGGGGUGGAGGAUUUGGGGGUCGACUGGUAGCACAACGAUAUUGUGGGUUAGGGAUGGAUGGUGACAGAGGGAAGGGUUGGGGUUGAAUUGAGAAUCUAGGCACUAGUCUUCGCCUAUAAAUCAUCCUCAUUUUGAUCGAAAACUGGAGAAAACAUUCAGCUAGCAACAAAAUUAAGAUCACUCUAUGGCUUGCUACUUGGGCAUUAAGAUUCUCCAGUAAAGAGCAUUUCUGAGAAGAUCACAAUUUCUUCAAACAAAAUUCCAGAGCUACUUUGAAAACCUAUAUAUAUAUAUAUAUAUUUGUAAAUUUAGUUUGUGUUGAAAGAUUCUGGAGACUUUUAGGAAUUUUGACUAGAUUUUUGUUGGACUUUGAUUGAAUCUGUUAAACAGAUGAAUAAUAAGUUUUGUAUUGUGAUAUAGAUUAUUUUUGUUUGGAUUGAUGAA
Humulus lupulus (European hop) is the source of this 816-nucleotide long non-coding RNA. RefSeq lists it as uncharacterized. The record is from RefSeq and is a predicted model, not a curated record. Lineage: Eukaryota; Viridiplantae; Streptophyta; Magnoliopsida; Rosales; Cannabaceae. The transcript is spliced from 2 exons.